AGUGAACGCUGGCGGUAGGCCUAACACAUGCAAGUCGAACGGCAGCACAGUAAGAGCUUGCUCUUACGGGUGGCGAGUGGCGGACGGGUGAGGAAUACAUCGGAAUCUAUUUUUUCGUGGGGGAUAACGUAGGGAAACUUACGCUAAUACCGCAUACGACCUACGGGUGAAAGCAGGGGAUCUUCGGACCUGGCGUGAUUGAAUGAGCCGAUGUCGGAUUAGCCAGUUGGCGGGGUAAAGGCCCACUAAGGCGACGAUCCGUAGCUGGUCUGCGAGGAUGAUAAGCCACACUGGAACUGAGACACGGACAAGGCUCAUACGGGAGGCAGAAGUGGGGAAUUGGGGACAAUGGGCGCAGGCCUGAUCCAGCCGUACCGCCUGGGUGAGGAAGGCAUUGGGGUUGUAAAACCCAUUUGUUGGGGAAGAAAAGCAGCAGGUUUAUACGCCACUGUUGUGACGGUACCGAAAGAAUAAGCACCGGCUAACUUCGUG
This 492-nucleotide ribosomal RNA is filed under the name uncultured bacterium. RNAcentral describes it as "partial 16S ribosomal RNA". It matches the Rfam family "Bacterial small subunit ribosomal RNA", at positions 29 to 507 of the family's 1533-position model. The record is from RNAcentral.